RNAcentral lists this unclassified non-coding RNA (693 nucleotides) under Hevea brasiliensis (rubber tree). The record is from RNAcentral. Lineage: Eukaryota; Viridiplantae; Streptophyta; Magnoliopsida; Malpighiales; Euphorbiaceae.
AAUAAUGGAGUCCCACAUGAAGCUCUUGCAGCAAGAAACAUUCCAACAACAAUACCACCAACAUGCAUGAUCGUUGGGAGCCAAAUUCUGAGUCCAAAUCCUGCGUGAAUGGCACCUUUCCAUUUUAUGCAAUGAACAUGAUUGCUGUUGUUCUCCAGGUAGCACCCAUUUCGACAAUUAACACAGUGGAGGCCAUUGAACCAUGAAAGCUGGAACCCAAAUGCCAGAUCUUUAUGAAUUUCAAUGAAGGACACCUUCUUUGCAGCAAAUGGAAACAAAGUGAUCAUCUCCACGGUGCACGAGUCCAUCAAAUCAGAUGCCUGUAUGCUGCCUAUAGCCACAUAUGAGUAGUUCCCUCCACUGAUGCAAGGCGCAGUGUCCACAUAAGUAAGACGAAAAUUCACCGCUGGAUUUGGGCACUUGAUGAACGUAAUCGUGUCCGAUAAAAAGAACCUCAAUACUCCAGGGUACAACCAUUUGUAAUUAUAAUACGAGUAUGGAUCUCCCCAUUCGAAGGGGUAAUGAGUCAAAGGAAAACGAGGAAUAGAGGAACAGUCAUCUUGCUGGACGCCAGCAUCCACCAGUCGGAUUGUGAAGUUCUGGUAAUUGAUGGCCUGCACAUAGUAUUUUCCUCCAUAUAGAUUUAACACCGUCGAAUUAUUUUCACAAGACAGGUUAUAUCUAUGGUCUCCA